CAUCCUGGGGCUGAAGUAGGUCCCAAGGGUAUGGCUGUUCGCCAUUUAAAGUGGUACGCGAGCUGGGUUUAGAACGUCGUGAGACAGUUCGGUCCCUAUCUGCCGUGGGCGCUGGAGAACUGAGGGGGGCUGCUCCUAGUACGAGAGGACCGGAGUGGACGCAUCACUGGUGUUCGGGUUGUCAUGCCAAUGGCACUGCCCGGUAGCUAAAUGCGGAAGAGAUAAGUGCUGAAAGCAUCUAAGCACGAAACUUGCCCCGAGAUGAGUUCUCCCUGAGACUUAGAGUCUCCUGAAGGAACGUUGAAGACGACGACGUUGAUAGGCCGGGUGUGUAAGCGCAGCGAUGCGUUGAGCUAACCGGUACUAAUGAACCGUGAGGCUUAACCUUAC
This 390-nucleotide ribosomal RNA is filed under the name Salmonella enterica subsp. enterica serovar Cubana str. CFSAN001083. RNAcentral describes it as "bacterial LSU rRNA". It matches the Rfam family "Bacterial large subunit ribosomal RNA", at positions 2543 to 2925 of the family's 2925-position model. The record is from RNAcentral. Lineage: Bacteria; Pseudomonadati; Pseudomonadota; Gammaproteobacteria; Enterobacterales; Enterobacteriaceae.